Molecule: transfer RNA, 97 nt
Filed under: Thermofilum pendens Hrk 5
Lineage: Archaea; Thermoproteati; Thermoproteota; Thermoprotei; Thermofilales; Thermofilaceae
Description: tRNA-Gly
Rfam family: tRNA
About the family: Transfer RNA (tRNA) molecules are approximately 80 nucleotides in length. Their secondary structure includes four short double-helical elements and three loops (D, anti-codon, and T loops). Further hydrogen bonds mediate the characteristic L-shaped molecular structure. tRNAs have two regions of fundamental functional importance: the anti-codon, which is responsible for specific mRNA codon recognition, and the 3' end, to which the tRNAs corresponding amino acid is attached (by aminoacyl-tRNA synthetases). tRNAs cope with the degeneracy of the genetic code in two manners: having more than one tRNA (with a specific anti-codon) for a particular amino acid; and 'wobble' base-pairing, i.e. permitting non-standard base-pairing at the 3rd anti-codon position.
Source: RNAcentral
GCGGCCGUAGUCUAGUCUGGUAGGAUGGCGGCCUUCCACGCCGCAGAGCCCUGUGUAGGCGCGGAGAACCCGGGUUCAAAUCCCGGCGGCCGCACCA